RNAcentral lists this ribosomal RNA (207 nucleotides) under uncultured bacterium. RNAcentral describes it as "partial 16S ribosomal RNA". It matches the Rfam family "Bacterial small subunit ribosomal RNA", at positions 568 to 774 of the family's 1533-position model. The record is from RNAcentral.
CGCGUAGGCGGUUAGGUCAGUCGGAUGUGAAAGCCCCGGGCUCAACCUGGGAAUUGCAUUCGAUACUGCCUGGCUAGAGUCUGGUAGAGGGAAGUGGAAUUCCGGGUGUAGCGGUGAAAUGCGUAGAUAUCCGGAGGAACACCAGUGGCGAAGGCGGCUUCCUGGACCAAGACUGACGCUGAGGUGCGAAAGCGUGGGGAGCAAACA